CUCAUGUCUCAGGCAGUCUUUCAGUUGUAGCAAAUCAGAUGGUGGCUCUGCAAAGUGAAUAAAACCUACACAUGGCAUGUCUACAAUAAGGACUACAUCAGAAAUACCUGAUAUCUUGCCCCUUCUUCACUGUGAUUUUCAUUUUUGUAUCUGCUUUAAACUUCUCUAAAUUUCUCUAGACUUCUUUAAAAUUCUCUAUAAUAUUACCAGUCUAAAGCAGAGGUUUCUGCAUAAGAGAAGAGAUGGCUGAUUUUUUUUUUUUUUUUUUUUCCUUCCCCAGAUGUUUCUUUUAGGACUGGACAUGAGAGGGAUCUGUUCCAAAUCUCAUGCUUUAAAACAGUACAAAAUGUUCAACAAUUCUAUGAAUGUAUGGCUGAUGUUCUCUUCACUGUUAUAACAGCUGAAGUAAAUGUUUUUAUGAAGCCUUCUAUUUCAUUUCACGGUAAAUGCAUACAGCCAUUUUACAGUCCUUUUUUUUUUUUUUUUUUUUUUAGUUUUACCUAGAUCUUAAUGAGCUUGUUUACUUGAGAAACAUCACAUUGUUAAUUCCACCAGCUAACCUGGGCAAAAGGCAUUCUUAGUAAGAAAGCCACAUGCUUGAAAAUUUUAUUUUGUCUAGCAAACCUAAAUUCAUCAUUAUUGCCUGCUAUUGAAUAUUUGACAGGAAUAUCUGAACCUUACAUGGAAAGGUGGAACACUGCAUCCAAAAGACUGACUGAAAUAAAGCAAGUCAAAUCAGUGAAGCCCUUUGAAGA
RNAcentral lists this long non-coding RNA (755 nucleotides) under Coturnix japonica (Japanese quail). RNAcentral's name for it is "lncRNA (ENSCJPG00005017545.1)". Lineage: Eukaryota; Metazoa; Chordata; Aves; Galliformes; Phasianidae. The record is from RNAcentral.